Molecule: long non-coding RNA, 330 nt
Filed under: Zostera marina
Lineage: Eukaryota; Viridiplantae; Streptophyta; Magnoliopsida; Alismatales; Zosteraceae
Description: long non-coding RNA (ZMAR_LNC004244)
Source: RNAcentral
GGAUUACACGAUUAAGUUUACUUCAAUGAUGACAGAAGUGAGCGACUUAAUCCCAAGUUUGGCCAUUGCGGGGUACACAAACGGGCUGGUACCCUACUCCCCUCUGGCUCUGAAUCUCACGCUCCACAAAGUGGAGACCUUACCCGACCUCUUCCAACGAGCUCAGUCAUUCAUUGAGGUGGAAGAGCAGAAUGAAAACAAGCUAGUGGAACUCGAGAACACUAGCUUCAAAAAACAAAAGUUCGAGAGAAAGAGCUACAAUGACUCCUCGAACAGAUACACUAGCAAUGCGGCUGAUUCCUUCAGAAAGGAUUGGAAGCCUAAACAUGA